GAUGAACGCUAGCGGCAGGCUUAAUACAUGCAAGUCGAGGGGCAGCGCGGGUAGCAAUACCUGGCGGCGACCGGCAAACGGGUGCGGAACACGUACGCAACCUUCCCAUAACUGGUGAAUAGCCCUCCGAAAGGAGGAUUAAUACACCGUAACAUAACGAAGAGGCAUCUUUUUGUUAUUAUAGUAGCAAUACGGUUUUGGAUGGGCGUGCGCCUGAUUAGGUAGUUGGCGGGGUAACGGCCCACCAAGCCUGCGAUCAGUAACUGGUGUGAGAGCACGACCAGUCACACGGGCACUGAGACACGGGCCCGACUCCUACGGGAGGCAGCAGUAAGGAAUAUUGGUCAAUGGACGAAAGUCUGAACCAGCCAUGCCGCGUGAAGGAUUAAGGCCCUCUGGGUUGUAAACUUCUUUUAUCUGGGACGAAAAAAGGGCAUUCUUGCUCACUUGACGGUACCAGAGGAAUAAGCACCGGCUAACUCCGUGCCAGCCGCCGCCGUAA
RNAcentral lists this ribosomal RNA (502 nucleotides) under uncultured bacterium. RNAcentral's name for it is "partial 16S ribosomal RNA". It matches the Rfam family "Bacterial small subunit ribosomal RNA", at positions 28 to 523 of the family's 1533-position model. The record is from RNAcentral.